Phrynosoma platyrhinos (Desert horned lizard) is the source of this 71-nucleotide non-coding RNA. NCBI's taxonomy places the organism in Eukaryota, Metazoa, Chordata, Lepidosauria, Squamata, Phrynosomatidae. The record is from the annotation of a GenBank genome assembly.
GACUACUGGUGCAGUGGUUUGAACAUUGGACUACGGCUCUGGAGAACAGGGUUCAAAUCCCAGCUUGGCCA